UUGAAGGCUAUGAGAGCAGUUGGAGCAUAGCCAUGUGCGAGCUGCUAGCCUUCUUGAAACGAAAUUCUUCAAUGCACCGGUAGACCUCAUGUCUUCGGGUCGGUUCCUUUUCGACGCAAGGAGAUACUAACGGAAGGCGGUAUCACAGUGAUCCAGUUGAGUCCCUCCAAAGGCAAGUUUGAGUUAAAUCAUAGCCAAACCCACAUGCUAAAAGCCAGCCUCAACCAUCGAUUAAGAUUCAAAACCCAUAUACAAAAACCCAAUCAGAGGCAAAACAGAGCAUGGAAACUGGGAAGAUUAAAGGGAUCGUCGGAUCGACUUACCUGCGAUGCCGUCGCCGCGCCGCGCCGCUGAUCUAGUGCCCUUGUCUCUAGGAGGGUGUGAAAAUGACUCUAGAGUCCGUUUCAAACCCUCCUCAAGUGAUAUGAUGGGCAUGUAGC
RNAcentral lists this unclassified non-coding RNA (440 nucleotides) under Hevea brasiliensis (rubber tree). Lineage: Eukaryota; Viridiplantae; Streptophyta; Magnoliopsida; Malpighiales; Euphorbiaceae. The record is from RNAcentral.